Long non-coding RNA from Lagenorhynchus albirostris (white-beaked dolphin), 3623 nucleotides. RefSeq lists it as uncharacterized. The record is from RefSeq and is a predicted model, not a curated record. NCBI's taxonomy places the organism in Eukaryota, Metazoa, Chordata, Mammalia, Artiodactyla, Delphinidae. The transcript is spliced from 3 exons.
UCCAGCCAAAGGCGGUGGUUGGUCCCCCACCCGACACCCCACAGACGCUCACACACAAGGGCAGUGGAGCAGGGUUGGCUUUAUUCUGCGCCUCGGCGGGCGGGGUCGGCGGGCGGAGACCGGGCGCUGAGGGCCAGGGCCGAGGCCGGGGCGAGGCGGCUCAGCAGGUCACUCAGCAUCUCCUCGCACAUGGCGAGGCACCGCGGCACGUGGAAGCAGCCUGCGGAGAGAGGCGGGAAGGCGGGUUUGGAGGGCCGUGGGCAGCCGAGUGCCCCGAGCCCCUGGGCCCCGCCCUUUCCCCCACUCACCUUUGAAAGGACCCCCCCUUGAUGGUGAGGGCGAUCUUCCCUUCUCGGUUCAGUGACGAGCGUGUGCAGUACUUGGAGAUGCCUCUCUAACCACAGCAUAACACGAACACAUUUGGAAUUUCUACUGGUGACAAAGUCGGACACUGCUAAUACUGUGGUUCACUGCUUUCAUUCAUGAUGGACGUGAAUGCUGGAUUUCAGUUAGAGGUUAGUGCAAAUAACGGUGGAAUUUUCUCUCAGGUUUCAAAGUCCACAGACCUCAGAAUAAGACCCCCCUGUUGUAAUGCCUCCCGUACUGGGGUUUACUAAUGGAGUGAGUCGCGGCUUUGGAAACACAUCGGGAAUCUUCCUUCGUUCCCCGUCAGGCUCCGCGCCCGAGGUGCCCGUCGGCAGCAGCUGGUACAGCUCAUCGCUCUGCUCAGGCACUCGGGCCUCUGCGGGGGGCGGGGGGCUGGCUUCCUUCCUACCUCGCAGAUGAUUCUCUCUCCUUUGCUGGGCCUGCCUAUGCCCUCUUCUCCUUUCCUUCUGUACUCCAAGGUUACCUUGCCUCACGUGGCCAGCCCACACCUCUCCCGCUCGACCACACUCUGACCCCUGAGCCGCUGCAGCCCCCACCCCGGGCCAGGCCCCCACUCACUAGCCAGGAUGACAGCCACAGCCCGCUCUCCCUGCCUUCGCCUAGUGCCCUCUGGCCUCCCCUCCUGAAGCCCCAGCUUUUUUCCUUCCCACUAGCCCCCCAGUCCCCUGACCUUGCUUUAUUUCCCAGAGCUCUCAUCACCAUCUGUGUUUGCUGGUUUACUUGUUUAUGGUCGGUCCCACCAGCACCAAAUAUGAGCUCCAGUGGGGCAGGGGCCACUCUCUUGACUGAACAGAGAGCACCAGGGCCGGGACUUCCAGGAACUCUCAGACCUACUGAGGGAACACGUCCGGCGAGGGGGGGAAGGAGGGGGUGUGCCGUGCCUGCGGUCUCCUCCACACCGCUGAGGCCAGGAAGCAGCACUUACCUGGCGGAAAGUGUACUCGGCCACCUGGUAGAAGAUGUUCAGCAAGGCGGAGUCCCCGCUCUCACUGUAGCCCAUGAGGAAGGCGAUCAUGGCUUCGCUGUGCGGCCACCAGAGCUUCAUGGCCCACUCCAGCUGAGAGCAGAGCGGAGGCAGGCAUCUGAGAGCCCUGGACCCCACUCCACCACCCCUCUCAGCAGGAGAGUCACCCCCAUCUUUCGGGCCCUGGCUCAGACUCCAUCUGGCCCAAGCUCUUGGAGCUUAACCACGGGAUGAACGUCUCUGGGGGCCUUAACCGCCCAUCAGAUCGCGACUAGCUUCCUGAGCCAGAUGUAGCCCAAGCGGCCCCUCCCAAAGGGCAGGGCUGGGGUGGGUGCCCCUUGAGCCCUGGAAUCGAAACCCCGGCUGCUCCCACUGCUGAUGCCUUAGGGUCACUCAGAGAGCCUUUCCAAGAUGAAGGGCCAUGUGUCUCCGCGUGGGCAUGGCCUGCGCUCCCUCACGGCCUCCCUGUGCAUGUGAGCUUGAGGGCCACCGGCACAGGAGUCGAGCUUCCCACUGGGGUCACACCAGGCAGGUUCACUCCUCUGAGCCCCGGGUCCCCCUCUCUGAAAUGGAUGAUGACAACACGCACCUCCCUGGGCAGAAAGCCUUCGACAGGCUAGUACCAUGUAGCCCUGGGUACAUUCCCACCUGGGUGGGGCAUAGGCCAUCAGCACCCUGGAAGUAGAUGAGACUUCCAUCGUCGGGAUCCCAUCCAGAGCGGAAAGGCAACAAUAGGAACUUGUCGAUAACGUGGGCUCGAAGUUUGGGGUCACCUCUCUGGACGGCGUGACGGAGCAGGAACCAGCCAGCUUCCAGCGCGUGGCCUGGUGAGCGCUCGGAUACUAAGACCCCCACCGGGUGGAAGAAGGUAAGGGCAUGCUGACCACCGGCGUGUAGAUCCCAGACCACUGGAACCAGAAGGUUGAUGAUGUUGACUCCUUCCCGAAAUACCACCUGGUUACCUCACCACCAACCAGUCAGAAGAACGUCCAUAAGCUGAUCAGGUAUCCCGCCACCCCCUCCCUCACCUUGCCUUUAAAAGCCCUUCCCCGGGGCUUCCCUGGUGGUGCAGUGGUUGAGAGUCCACCUGCCGAUGCAGGGGACGUGGGUUCAUGCCCCGGUUCGGGAAGAUCCCACAUGCCGCGGAGCAGCUGGGCCCGUGAGCCAUGGCCGCUGGGCCUGCGCGUCCGGAGCCUGUGCUUCACAACGGGAGAAGCUGCAACAGUGAGAGGCCCGCGUACCGCAAAAAACAAAAACAAAAACAAAAACAAAAACAAAACCCACAAUGAGAUAUCAUCUCACACCGGUCAGAAUGGCCAUCAUCAAAAAAUCUAGAAACAACAAAUGCUGGAGAGGGUGUGCAGAAAAGGGAACACUCUUGCACUCCUGGUGGGAAUGUAAAUUGAUACAGCCAGUAUGAAGAACAGUAUGGAGGUUCCUUAAAAAACUACAAAUAGAAUUACCUAAUGACCCAGCAAUCCCACUACUGAGCAUAGACCCAGAGAAAACCAUAAUUGAAAAAGACACGUGCACCCCAAUGUUCACUGCAACAUGAUUUACAAUAGCCAGGUCAUGGAAGCAACCUAAAUGCCCAUCGACAGAUGAAUGGAUAAAGAAGAUGUGGUACAUAUAUACAAUGGAAUACUACUCAGCCAUAAAAAGGAACGAAAUUGGGUCAUUUGUAGAGACGUGGAUGAAUCUAUAGAGUGUCAUACAGAGUGAAGUAAGUCAGAAAGAGAAAAACAAAUAUCAUAUAUUAAUGCAUAUAUGUGGAACCUAGAAAAAUGGUACAGACGAACCGGUUUGCAGGGCAGAAAUUGAGACACAGAUAGAGAACAAACGUAUGGACACCAAGGGGGAAAAGCAGCGUGGGGUUGUGGUGGUGUGAUGAACUGGGAGAUUGGGAUUGACAUGUAUACACUGAUGUGUAUAAAAUGGAUAACUAAUAAGAACCUGCUGUAUAAAAAAAAUAAAAUAAAAUUCAAAUAUUCAAAAAAAGAAUUAACGCUACAUAGAUAAUUAUUAGGUCAACUAAAAAAUUGGCAUAUCGUUUGCUUGGAUAAAAAUAUUGUAUCAAUAUUAAAUUUCCUGAAGUUGAAAACUCUACUGUGUAAAUGUAAGAGAAUAUUAUUAUUUAGAGGAAAUGCUUACUGAAAUAUUUGGGGGUGAAGGGCUUUAUGCAAGUAACUUACUCUUGAAUCGUUCAGAAAAAUGUUAUGUAUCUGUAUUAUUUGUGUGUGUAUGUGUGAAUACAUGUCAAUUUAAAAAAAUG